GAUGAACGCUGGCGGCGUGCCUAAUACAUGCAAGUCGUGCGGAAAGGCCCCUUCGGGGGUACUCGAGCGGCGGACGGGUGAGUAACGCGUAAGAAUCUACCCCAAACUGAGGGAUAACUGCUCGAAAGAGUAGCUAAUACCGCAUGUGCUCUACGGAGUAAAGCUUCGGCGGUUUGGGAAGGGCUUGCGUCUGAUUAGCUAGUUGGUGAGGUAACGGCUCACCAAGGCGACGAUCGGUAGCAGGUUUGAGAGGAUGAUCAGCCACACUGGGACUGAGACACGGCCCAGACUCCUACGGGAGGCAGCAGUAGGGAAUUUUUUUCAAUGGGCGAAAGCCUGAUGGAGCAACGCCGCGUGCAGGAUGAAGGCCUUCGGGUCGUAAACUGCUUUUCUCUGUGACGAUUAUGACGGUAGCAGAGGAAUAAGGGUCGGCUAACUACGUGCCAGCAGCCGCGGUAA
Molecule: ribosomal RNA, 459 nt
Filed under: uncultured bacterium
Lineage: Bacteria
Description: partial 16S ribosomal RNA
Rfam family: Bacterial small subunit ribosomal RNA
Source: RNAcentral